This 523-nucleotide long non-coding RNA is filed under the name Vitis vinifera (wine grape). Its description in RNAcentral is "long non-coding RNA (VVIN_LNC001152)". Lineage: Eukaryota; Viridiplantae; Streptophyta; Magnoliopsida; Vitales; Vitaceae. The record is from RNAcentral.
CUAGCCAGCAAGAGUUAGCAACCCUACAUACAAAGCUUCCUGUUGUCUCUCGCCACCAUGUUAGCUGCAUUACGGCAAGGCUAUUUGUUGGAAUAGGAAGGGGGGAGCUGCUACCGUCAAAAGACACCCGUCAGUUGUUGUUACAGACCUGGUUGCAGCCUUUGAUCAAUGACUACAGCUGGUUACAACAUGGGUGUAGGUCAUUUGACAGGAAGGUUGUAGAGGAAGGAAUUGGUAGGACAAUCCUGACACUGCCUCUAGAGGAUCAGCAGAGUAUUUUGCUUGCUUGGUUGGGCAGUUUUCUAAAGGCUGGUGAUAACUGCCCAAAUCUUCAGAGGGCCUUUGAGGUCUGGUGGCGGAGAACUUUCGUUAGACCUUAUGUUGAACCCCAAGGAAAUCUAAUGUAGUCAGAUAGCUCAAUGACUUCAUGAUGGGUGGCUAAAAGCAUAUCACUGUGUGUUGCAACUUGCAAGUAAUGAUAUGUAUAAAUUUAAUAGGGAUGAUCUUUCACAAUGAGGAGGAG